Molecule: unclassified non-coding RNA, 391 nt
Filed under: soil metagenome
Description: partial contains 5.8S ribosomal RNA, internal transcribed spacer 2, and large subunit ribosomal RNA
Rfam family: 5.8S ribosomal RNA (bases 1-122)
Source: RNAcentral
GAUGAAGAACGUAGCGAAAUGCGAUACUUGGUGUGAAUUGCAGAAUCCCGUGAACCAUCGAGUCUUUGAACGCAAGUUGCGCCCGAAGCCAUUAGGCCGAGGGCACGCCUGCCUGGGCGUCACACGUCGUUGCCCCCCCAUCUACUCCUUCGGGAUUGCGGGGGGCGGAUGAUGGCCUCUCGUGCGCCUCGUCGCGCGGUUGGCCUAAAUGCCAAGUCCUCGGCGACGCACGCCACGACAAUCGGUGGUUGCGAAACCUCGGUUGCCUGUCGUGUGCGGUCGUCGCGCAUCGAGGGCUCGAAAAAAUUGCCGGGCUUCGGCUCGACUUUCAAAGCGACCCCAGGUCAGGCGGGGUUACCCGCUGAAUUUAAGCAUAUCAAUAAGCGGAGGA